This is a long non-coding RNA of Callithrix jacchus (white-tufted-ear marmoset), 1813 nucleotides long. RefSeq lists it as uncharacterized. The record is from RefSeq and is a predicted model, not a curated record. NCBI's taxonomy places the organism in Eukaryota, Metazoa, Chordata, Mammalia, Primates, Cebidae.
AGGAACGGGACUUCCAACUCCAUCUGGAGGACCAAAAGAGGGAGGCAGUUCAAACUGGCAGCCUUCGUCCUGGAUGUAGAUGCAGGGCUGCUUGGGGAGGCCAGCAGGAGGCUCUUCUUAUCAACAUUGAACUAUAAUGCAAAGACGCUGCAGUAAUUCUCACUUCCACCUAUGGUUUUUACAGUGAGCAGUACAGACAUCUGCUUGCAAGAAAAGACAGGAAACCCAGAAACCCUUUCAAAUGAAAAUGUAAAAAGCUGAUAGACAUUGAAGUUAUUCCAAGAGGAAGCUGCUUUUCAAAGAAGACUCUAGAUCCGUGCUGAAGAAAGAUGUGCUGUAGAAUUUGGACAUCAGCAAGGUAUCUCUUUCUGUGGCAUUGGUGAGGGAUGCAGGGAAAGAAGAAGGAAGGAGGUGAGUGUGUGCCAGGGCCCUGGCAUUUUUGUCUUAUUACUUGUUACAAAGCAGCUCCUUCCUCUGUAUAAUCACAUGUGGCAGAGUUGCUAGUUGUUCCCCAGUAUCCAUGUUGCCCUUCUUUAUGGUGUUAACACUCUUAACCCCCGGGAAAGGAGACAUGCUGUCAGCUCCCUUGCAGACAGAGGUGGCCAUGUGACUUAGCUCUAGCCAACCACAAGUGUCAUGUGGCAGCAUCCAGGAACCUAAUUAAGCAACAGCGUGUGUGUGCCUUUGUCAAUUCUCAUCCUAUGGCUGGAACACAGCACUCAGUGUUGCAAAGCCACACAGCAGGAACAGCCUGGCUCCCUGUCCCAGGAGCACCGAGCAGCCCUAGGUCAUCUACCUGUACUUUUACAUGAGGCAUAAAGGAACUUGCCCAAGCUGUUCCUUUGGGUUUUAUCUCACUUGUAGCUAAAUGCAAUGCUAAACCAGACAACAGAUGAGGGUAGGUUAUCAGGUUAGCCCUCAAAAGCCUAUUGAUCAGACUGCCUGUGGAUUUAUAUUUCCGGGCCAGCCUGGGUAAAUAGUCAACACACAUAUCACUUCACCUCUAGUUCAAUGCAUUCAGAAUACCAAACUGUUGCCUAAACUAUGUUGUAAAAAUAAAACCUAUUGCUAAGUAGAGAGGGUGUUGCACACAAACCUAUGUAUGCACACACAUAUGUGUGUUAUAAUACAAAUACAUACCCACUUUUCAUUGAGAUAGCAGCUGUGGAGGUGGAAAUCCUUCUUUCCACCAUGCUACAUCUGGGUCAACUCCAAGAGCCGAUUGCCUUUCACUUUGUGGAAGAGUAGAAAAUGACUCAUUGUAUCUAAAAUGGGCUUAAGUGCCCUAUUUAUUUACCUAUCUGCAUUCAAUUAGAAAAGUGCCGUUCCUUUCUGUUUAUUUAUAGACGUCAUUUUGGUUAUGCUGGUGCUUUACUGCAUGUUGUUCACUUCUCCCGAACAGAGAGGCAUGUUUACCAAGUCCUUACCCAUAAUUAGUGUCACUCCGUGGAACAAGGCACCUCUGUUCUAUACGUGCCACAGCUGUCAUGAUCUCCUCACCACGAACUGCCCUGAUGGACGACUUGAGUCACUCAUUUCAUCAGAAAGCAGCAUAAAAAGUGUUAUUGCAGUGGGCCUGGCGCUCAGGGAAGCCAUAUCAGGUGUUACGCCUUGUGGCAGCCCCGAGCUCAGAGACAGCCUCGUCUUAUUACAUUUCCAGUUAAUUAUUCUUGUACUUUUCAAUAGCUCUGUGUCAUAAAAAUGCAGCAGGUAGUCGAUUCAGAUUAGCUUUAUCCUAUCAGGUGAUGGCAGACCUCAGAUGACACGUUAAUCAGCUGCUGUUGGCUUGGGUAUGCUAUACAUGUGAAUAUCA